Molecule: long non-coding RNA, 545 nt
Filed under: Mus caroli (Ryukyu mouse)
Lineage: Eukaryota; Metazoa; Chordata; Mammalia; Rodentia; Muridae
Description: predicted gene 13944 (MGP_CAROLIEiJ_G0003215.1)
Source: RNAcentral
CAGGAGCUGGAGUACAAACUGGCACAGUUAGGAGCCUGAAGUUUGAGAAUGUCAGGUGACAUUAUCUUGUCUAAACAAAAUGUCAAGGUCCAGCUGCUCGGGUCGCUGAAGCCUCCCUGCUGUAACAGACUGAAACCUAAAUGAAUCUCUCAUCCUGUGGCUUGAAUAGAAAACGUCCAACUUGGGUUCUGUGUAUGACCUCUCACUGGUGGCAUUAAGGAGAUGGACAGUGGAACCCUCAGGAGAUGCUCUCGCUGCCCAGUCUGUUGGAUCCCUUGGGACAACUGCUGGUGCUCUGGACCCUCACGUCUGAACGAAGAACCCUGAUGGGCAGAGAGGAGAAAACGUCUGAAGGAAUGCCUAACUUAUGGAAGGAGAUCUGUCCAGCCUGUCGGUGUACGUGGUGAACCUGCUUCCUCUGGGUGGAAUGUGACCAUCAGCACAUGACUCAGAGCUGCCACGAUCCUCCCUGGAGCGAUGGAGAGCCUACAAGCUUCAUGGGGCUUCUGGGGGGGUGCAGGAGCCUUCAUGGCUAUCCUCUCUGA